GACAAACGCUGGCGGCAUGCCUAAUACAUGCAAGUCGAGCGAACAGAUGAAGUGCUUGCACUUUUGACGUUAGCGGCGAACGGGUGAGUAACACGUAAGGAAUCUACCUAUAAGCGGGGGAUAACAUUCGGAAACGGGUGCUAAUACCGCAUAAUAUCUUCUUCCGCAUGGAAGAAGAUUGAAAGACGGCUCUGCUGUCACUUAUAGAUGACCUUGCGGUGCAUUAGUUAGUUGGUGGGGUAACGGCCUACCAAGACGAUGAUGCAUAGCCGACCUGAGAGGGUGAUCGGCCACAUUGGGACUGAGACACGGCCCAAACUCCUACGGGAGGCAGCAGUAGGGAAUCUUCCGCAAUGGGCGAAAGCCUGACGGAGCAAUGCCGCGUGAGUGAAGAAGGCCUUCGGGUCGUAAAACUCUGUUAUAAGAGAAGAACAAAUUGUAGAGUAACUGCUACAGUCUUGACGGUAUCUUAUCAGAAAGCCACGGCUAACUACGUGCCAGCCGCCGCAGUAA
Molecule: ribosomal RNA, 513 nt
Filed under: uncultured bacterium
Lineage: Bacteria
Description: partial 16S ribosomal RNA
Rfam family: Bacterial small subunit ribosomal RNA
Source: RNAcentral